AGAGUUUGAUCCUGGCUCAGAAUCAACGCUGGCGGCGUGCCUAACACAUGCAAGUCGAACGAGAAAGUGGAGCAAUCCAUGAGUAAAGUGGCGACCGGGUGAGUAACACGUGACUAACCUACCUUUUAGUGGGGGAUAACAUCGGGAAACCGAUGCUAAUACCGCAUAACAUCGCAAGAUCAAAGCAGCAAUGGCGCUGGAAGAGGGGGUCGCGGCUGAUUAGCUAGUUGGCGGGGUAAUGGCCCACCAAGGCGAAGAUCGGUAUCCGGCCUGAGAGGGCGCACGGACACACUGGAACUGAAACACGGUCCAGACUCCUACGGGAGGCAGCAGUGGGGAAUUUUGCGCAAUGGGGGAAACCCUGACGCAGCAACGCCGCGUGGAGGAUGAAGUCCCUUGGGACGUAAACUCCUUUCGACCAAGACGAUAAUGACGGUACUG
Molecule: ribosomal RNA, 441 nt
Filed under: uncultured bacterium
Lineage: Bacteria
Description: bacterial SSU rRNA
Rfam family: Bacterial small subunit ribosomal RNA
Source: RNAcentral